This 492-nucleotide ribosomal RNA is filed under the name uncultured bacterium. RNAcentral's name for it is "partial 16S ribosomal RNA". It matches the Rfam family "Bacterial small subunit ribosomal RNA", at positions 29 to 507 of the family's 1533-position model. The record is from RNAcentral.
AGUGAACGCUGGCGGUAGGCCUAACACAUGCAAGUCGAACGGCAGCACAGUAAGAGCUUGCUCUUACGGGUGGCGAGUGGCGGACGGGUGAGGAAUACAUCGGAAUCUACUUUUUCGUGGGGGAUAACGUAGGGAAACUUACGCUAAUACCGCAUACGACCUACGGGUGAAAGCAGGGGAUCUUCGGACCUUGCGCGAUUGAAUGAGCCGAUGUCGGAUUAGCUAGUUGGCGGGGCAAAGGCCCACCAAGGCGACGAUCCGUAGCUGGUCUGAGAGGAUGAUCGGCCACACGGGAACGGAGACACGGUCCAGACUCCUACGGGAGGCAGCAGUGGGGAAUAUUGGACAAUGGGCGCAAGCCUGAUCCAGCCAUACCGCGUGGGUGAAGAAGGCCUUCGGGUUGUAAAGCCCUUUUGUUGGGAAAGAAAAGCAGCAGGUUAAUACCCCGCUGUUCUGACGGUACCCAAAGAAUAAGCACCGGCUAACUUCGUG